This 72-nucleotide transfer RNA is filed under the name Candidatus Dojkabacteria bacterium. RNAcentral's name for it is "tRNA-Ala". It matches the Rfam family "tRNA". Rfam says of the family: Transfer RNA (tRNA) molecules are approximately 80 nucleotides in length. Their secondary structure includes four short double-helical elements and three loops (D, anti-codon, and T loops). The record is from RNAcentral.
GGGCCCAUAGCUUAGCUGGUAGAGCACCGCAUUCGCAUUGCGGCGGCACCGGUUCGACUCCGGUUGGGUCCA